CUGUCCUUCUCCCAAUCAGGUUAUAGUACUGGAUAUUAACAAUCGUGUUAAGGUUUACGGACGGAAAAGUGAAUUAGGUUUAAAACUUUCCAGCCUUGGUUUUUCAACUCUCCUUGUGAACCUCAAUAAUGGAUAAAAAUCAAGCCUAUAAAUUGUUGCAAAGCUUCCAGCAUUGUGCAUACCAGCUGAGUAAGCUUGAAGACUUUCAAAAUGCAGCAAG
Penaeus indicus is the source of this 220-nucleotide long non-coding RNA. RefSeq lists it as uncharacterized. Lineage: Eukaryota; Metazoa; Arthropoda; Malacostraca; Decapoda; Penaeidae. The transcript is spliced from 3 exons. The record is from RefSeq and is a predicted model, not a curated record.